ACACGAGCGGCGGACGGCUGAGUAACGCGUAGGAACGUACCCCAAAGUGAGGGAUAAGCACCAGAAAUGGUGUCUAAUACCGCAUGUGGUCUUCGGAUUAAAGCUUCGGCGCUUUGGGAGCGGCCUGCGUAUGAUUAGUUUGUUGGUGAGGUAAUGGCUCACCAAGGCUUCGAUCAUUAGCUGGUCUGAGAGGAUGAUCAGCCAGACUGGGACUGAGAACGGCCCAGACUCC
This 232-nucleotide ribosomal RNA is filed under the name uncultured bacterium. RNAcentral describes it as "partial 16S ribosomal RNA". It matches the Rfam family "Bacterial small subunit ribosomal RNA", at positions 89 to 339 of the family's 1533-position model. The record is from RNAcentral.